Molecule: non-coding RNA, 28 nt
Filed under: Bombyx mori (domestic silkworm)
Lineage: Eukaryota; Metazoa; Arthropoda; Insecta; Lepidoptera; Bombycidae
Source: RNAcentral
UAACGGUGCUAAUUAAUUUUUCCAACAU